RNAcentral lists this transfer RNA (87 nucleotides) under Hydrocoleum sp. CS-953. It matches the Rfam family "tRNA". From Rfam's summary of the family: Transfer RNA (tRNA) molecules are approximately 80 nucleotides in length. Their secondary structure includes four short double-helical elements and three loops (D, anti-codon, and T loops). RNAcentral also lists the same sequence under 1 other name. Lineage: Bacteria; Bacillati; Cyanobacteriota; Cyanophyceae; Oscillatoriales; Microcoleaceae. The record is from Rfam by way of RNAcentral.
GGAGAGGUGGCCGAGUGGCUGAAGGCAUCUUCCUGCUAAGAAGAAACGGUUUAAUUGCCGUCGUGGGUUCAAAUCCCACUCUCUCCG